AUGACCAAGAAACUAGUAGGCUUGUUUGAGACACAUUGCGGCUCGCCUCGAAAGUAGACGAGAGUAGCCGAUCGCAGCCGGGGGAGGUGUCAAAAAGCUCGUCUUAAGUCGGACAGCUCGGAGUCGGAGUCGGCUUGACUGGCUGGGUUUGCAAUGGCGGAAAUUGCGUUGGCGUUUUUCGUUGCAGAUGAAGUGGAUGCAAUAGAAAUCCCACAUGUAUUGUAUGGAGAAUGGCAUGAUGAACACCGUCUGCGGAGAUCCGUUCCAAAGGUCCAACAAUUUGUGGAAGAAGUGGUCCCACAGUACAGUCCUUCAGACUUCAAAAGUCAUUUCCGAUUGUCCAGGGGACAUGUGGAAGAUGUGAUGACGACUAUUGGCCCGUUCUACUGGAACAAUGUUCUUGCCUGUCUGUGGACUCUAUCAAACCAGGAGUCCUAUAGGGGGUUUGCUGAUCGUUUCAAUAUCACCAAAUCCACUGUCUGCCUGCAUCUCCGUGAAUUCUGUAGUCUUGUCACCACAUAUUUGUCUCACCACAUUUCCUGGCCCACAGGGCAAGCCCUACAUAAUUCUGAGUUAGGAUUUCGUGCAGCAGGAUUUCCCAACACUGUCUGUGCGGUAGAUGGAUGCCACAUUCCUAUUGUGAAACCACACUGUGAGAACCCAAUAGCAUACAUCAACAGAAAACAGUUUUAUUCUGUUGUGCUUACUGGGUUCUGUGACAGUAAACAGAGAUUCUGUCAUGUUAAUGUGGGCCACCCUGGUAGCUGGCAUGAUGCACGGGCAUUCCGGUUGUCUGCUGUUGGAAGGCUGCUUGAUGAAGAUCCCCAGUCCCUGGUGCCUGAGGGAAUGCACAUCAUUGGGGACUCUGCCUACCCACUAUUGCCUCAGCUUAUGAGGCCAUACAGGGACAAUGGCCAUUUAACUGCUCGGCAGCGUCGUUUCAAUCAAAAAUUAAAUGUUGCACGCGUGGUCAUUGAGCAUACCUUUGGCCUACUGAAAACGAAGUUCAGGAGGCUCAAAUGUUUGUACAUGAAAAACAUUGCAAACAUUAGCACAGCAGUCACUGCCUGUUGCAUACUUCACAACAUGUGCUUGGAGGAAGGGGAAGCAAUUGAAGUUGAUGAGCAGGUUGAAGCAGCAGAUAACAGGGCACCGCAUCCCCAGAACCAAGAUGCAGUGUUGCACAGAAAUCAGAUUUGUGACCUUUUUUAAAGAGCUCACACACACACACACCCCCCCCCCCACAAAUAACCACUGUCAUAUUCUUUGUGGAAGACAUUUGUUUUUUUAUUUCCUUUCCUUUUAUGCCCACAGUAUUGAGUAUGUAAGUCGCUUUGGAUUAAAGCGCCUAACAAGUAACAUGUAAUGUCAUCCAAAAUGAUUGGGCAAGUAAAAAAUAAAUGCAUAUAUAUGAAAACUAGAUAUGGUCAUUUUCUGCACAUGUCAAUAGCAGUUGACUAUCUUCUUUGAAAAUGAAAUAACUAUAUAUACAUAUGUACACAUGUACUUGGCAAAUAAAUAAUAAUUGCAUAUAAACAUUGUGAACACUUAGUGUAUACAAAGGCAAUUGCCAGGGAUGAAAUAAUAACUCAACUGCAUAACGAGGAAAAUAAAUAACUAAUCUAAACAAUAUUACUUCCAUAAACAAACUGAGGUGGUGUUCUUUAUAAACAAAUUAAUUCAGGGAAUACCCAGUGUGGGGGAAAUUAUGGCAUUUUGGGCUUGUCCUGCAAAAGCUCAAUGAUGCGCUCUUGUUGGCUCCCAAUGGACUUUAACUGGGAAACAACUUCUCCCAUCGCAGUCAACAUUUUAGCUUCAAACCUCCUCCUAUUUAUCUCCUUCAGCCUUCUCCGGCGCUCCUGUUCUGGCCGCACCAGUGUCUCCAGUGCACUGGUCCUCCUCUCCGAGUGGGCCUCAUACAGGUCGUAGAAGGAGGGAUGGGAGACUCGAGACCGGAUUGAUCUCGGCUGAGUGGUGGGCAGGGUCAUGGAGGGACCAGGCUGGCCCUCAGAGGCACACGGCAGUGUGGUGUUCUGACCGGCUGGAGGGGGAUGCCAGGUGAGGAGUGCCAGCUUGGGAUCUAGCAGGCCUUACAAGAGCAGGCCUUACAGGAGCAGGCCUUUCAUCAGGAGCAGGCCUUUCGUCAGGAGCAGGUCUUUCAUCAGGAGCAGGUCUUUCAUCAGGAGCAGGCCUUUUCGUCAGGAGCAGGCCUUUCGUCAGGAGCAGGUCUUUCAUCAGGAGCAGGCCUUUCGUCAGGAGCAGGUCUUUCAUCAGGAGCAGGCCUUUCGUCAGGAGCAGGUCUUUCAUCAGGAGCAGGCCUUUCAGGAGCAGGCCUAGCAUCUGAAGACAGAUCUAAAGGGACUGUGAUUGAGAGAAAAUUAAAUAUUUGUUUACAAUAAA
RNA transcript from Gymnodraco acuticeps, 2400 nucleotides. RefSeq lists it as uncharacterized. NCBI's taxonomy places the organism in Eukaryota, Metazoa, Chordata, Actinopteri, Perciformes, Bathydraconidae. The record is from RefSeq and is a predicted model, not a curated record. The transcript has 4 exons.